GACGAACGCUGGCGGCGUGCCUAAUACAUGCAAGUAGAACGCUGAAGAGAGGAGCUUGCUCUUCUUGGAUGAGUUGCGAACGGGUGAGUAACGCGUAGGUAACCUGCCUUGUAGCGGGGGAUAACUAUUGGAAACGAUAGCUAAUACCGCAUAACAAUGGAUGACCCAUGUCAUUUAUUUGAAAGGGGCAAAUGCUCCACUACAAGAUGGACCUGCGUUGUAUUAGCUAGUAGGUGAGGUAACGGCUCACCUAGGCGACGAUACAUAGCCGACCUGAGAGGGUGAUCAGCCACACUGGGACUGAGACACGGCCCAGACUCCUACGGGAGGCAGCAGUAGGGAAUCUUCGGCAAUGGGGGCAACCCUGACCGAGCAACGCCGCGUGAGUGAAGAAGGUUUUCGGAUCGUAAAGCUCUGUUGUAAGUCAAGAACGAGUGUGAGAGUGGAAAGUUCACACUGUGACGGUAGCUUACCAGAAAGGGACGGCUAACUACGUGCCGGCAGCCGCGGUAAUACGUAGGUCCCGAGCGUUGUCCGGAUUUAUUGGGCGUAAAGCGAGCGCAGGCGGUUUGAUAAGUCUGAAGUUAAAGGCUGUGGCUCAACCAUAGUUCGCUUUGGAAACUGUCAAACUUGAGUGCAGAAGGGGAGAGUGGAAUUCCAUGUGUAGCGGUGAAAUGCGUAGAUAUAUGGAGGAACACCGGUGGCGAAAGCGGCUCUCUGGUCUGUAACUGACGCUGAGGCUCGAAAGCGUGGGGAGCGAACAGG
Molecule: ribosomal RNA, 765 nt
Filed under: uncultured Streptococcus sp.
Lineage: Bacteria; Bacillati; Bacillota; Bacilli; Lactobacillales; Streptococcaceae
Description: bacterial SSU rRNA
Rfam family: Bacterial small subunit ribosomal RNA
Source: RNAcentral